Molecule: transfer RNA, 81 nt
Filed under: Ipomoea nil (Japanese morning glory)
Lineage: Eukaryota; Viridiplantae; Streptophyta; Magnoliopsida; Solanales; Convolvulaceae
Rfam family: tRNA
About the family: Transfer RNA (tRNA) molecules are approximately 80 nucleotides in length.
Source: Rfam by way of RNAcentral
GUUGAGAUGGCCGAGUUGGUCAAAGGUGCCAUUUUCAGGUUUUGGUCCGAAAGGGUGUGGGUUCAAAUCCCACUAUCAACA